Molecule: long non-coding RNA, 918 nt
Filed under: Marmota monax (woodchuck)
Lineage: Eukaryota; Metazoa; Chordata; Mammalia; Rodentia; Sciuridae
Source: RNAcentral
AUUCUGGGGUGUUGGGGGCAAGGUCUGGAAGAUCCAAGCUGGGUAGAUUUAAAGAAAUGGAUGGGUCUGGUGUCUGGUGCUUUGAAUACUGCAUUUCCUGGGAGCAAGCCCUGCAGCAAACACUCCUAAGUCAGAGAUUUUGGUGUGCCAAACACAUUCCUCUGGAGGUACCCGUCGUCCUUGUGUCCAUCAUUGCAACAAAUUGAGACUUCCUUUGUCCAGGUGGACUAGCUCCUCCUUCCCCGCCAGCCCCACCAAUGGGAUAGCAAGUAAGCAACCCACAGUUCACGUCCAGCCCAUAAGGAAUACCUGGAGGCAGGAGGUGAGGGCACACAGGGUGAUGUCUUUUUUUGAUCUGUGCAACACAGGGAUGCUGACUGCCCAUCAGUUUUCGAAGAAAGAGGAAAUGCUCGCCGGCCAGUCCAUGCUCUGCACUCUGGGUUUUUUCCCGGUUCAGAGAGUCCCACAAAUGCAUCCUGUUACCGAAACAUGAGUCAGAUGAAUCCUGUUGUAGCCUCUUCCCCAGGUGCACAUAUAUACAGCCAGAAAUCAGGGUGGGGACUGGAACUCAAAGGAGUCUGGACUUUGCAAUCUAGAGGAGAGAUUGGGGAGCUUCCUGCAAACUCCCCAAAUACCUUGAGUACACUGGCAAGGAAGGGAUCUGGGAGGUGGAACUUGCUCCUUAGUUGCAGAGCUGGAUUAGAGUCCAAAACUCCAGUGUGGCCAAGCACCUCCCCUUUAACCCUGCUCUCCUCAAUUGUUUUCUGAGCAACGUUUCUAAACCCCUUGCCAAAGGCCUGGACUCACAGGUCAAAGAGGCUUUGCUAAAAACUGGUUGUUCAAAAACUGGGGAGGGAUGAUUCCUGGUGUGUUAAGGAAAGUAAAAUGCCACCUCCUGAAGCCCUCCCUGAUGACCCC